AUUAGAUACCCUGGUAGUCCACGCCCUAAACGAUGUCAACUAGCUGUUGGGGCCUUCGGGCCUUAGUAGCGCAGCUAACGCGUGAAGUUGACCGCCUGGGGAGUACGGUCGCAAGAUUAAAACUCAAAGGAAUUGACGGGGACCCGCACAAGCGGUGGAUGAUGUGGAUUAAUUCGAUGCAACGCGAAAAACCUUACCUACCCUUGACAUGUCUGGAAUCCCGAAGAGAUUUGGGAGUGCUCGCAAGAGAACUGGAACACAGGUGCUGCAUGGCUGUCGUCAGCUCGUGUCGUGAGAUGUUGGGUUAAGUCCCGCAACGAGCGCAACCCUUGUCAUUAGUUGCUACGAAAGGGCACUCUAAUGAGACUGCCGGUGACAAACCGGAGGAAGGUGGGGAUGACGUCAAGUCCUCAUGGCCCUUAUGGGUAGGGCUUCACACGUCAUACAAUGGUCGGGACAGAGGGUCGCCAACCCGCGAGGGGGAGCCAAUCCCAGAAACCCGAUCGUAGUCCGGAUCGUAGUCUGCAACUCGACUACGUGAAGUCGGAAUCGCUAGUAAUCGCGGAUCAGCAUGUCGCGGUGAAUACGUUCCCGGGUCUUGUACACACCGCCCGUCACACCAUGGGAGUGGGUUUCACC
RNAcentral lists this ribosomal RNA (639 nucleotides) under uncultured beta proteobacterium. RNAcentral's name for it is "bacterial SSU rRNA". It matches the Rfam family "Bacterial small subunit ribosomal RNA", at positions 777 to 1421 of the family's 1533-position model. The record is from RNAcentral. Lineage: Bacteria; Pseudomonadati; Pseudomonadota; Betaproteobacteria.